AUUGAACGCUGGCGGCAUGCCUUACACAUGCAAGUCGAACGGCAGCGGACCUUCGGGUGCCGGCGAGUGGCGAACGGGUGAGUAAAGUAUCGGAACGUACCUUUCAGUGGGGGAUAACUGUCCGAAAGGACAGCUAAUACCGCAUAUUCUGUGAGCAGGAAAGCAGGGGAUCGCAAGACCUUGCGCUGAUUGAGCGGCCGAUAUCAGAUUAGCUAGUUGGUGAGGUAAAGGCUCACCAAGGCGACGAUCUGUAGCGGGUCUGAGAGGAUGAUCCGCCACACUGGAACUGAGACACGGUCCAGACUCCUACGGGAGGCAGCAGUGGGGAAUUUUGGACAAUGGGGGCGAACCCUGAUCCAGCCAUGCCGCGUGAGUGAAGAAGGCCUCGGUUG
RNAcentral lists this ribosomal RNA (392 nucleotides) under uncultured bacterium. Its description in RNAcentral is "bacterial SSU rRNA". It matches the Rfam family "Bacterial small subunit ribosomal RNA", at positions 30 to 425 of the family's 1533-position model. The record is from RNAcentral.